GCCAAUACCAUGCUGAAUAUACCGGUUCUCGUUAGAUCACCGAAGUCAAGCAUCAUUGGGCGCGGUCAGUACUUGGGUGGGUGACAACCUGCGAACACCGCGUGCCGUU
This 109-nucleotide ribosomal RNA is filed under the name Caerostris darwini. The record is from RNAcentral. Lineage: Eukaryota; Metazoa; Arthropoda; Arachnida; Araneae; Araneidae.